GACGAACGCUGGCGGCGUGCUUAACACAUGCAAGUCGAACGGAAAGGCCCUGCUUUUGUGGGGUGCUCGAGUGGCGAACGUGUGAGUAACACGUGAGUAACCUGCCCUUGACUUUGGGAUAACUUCAGGCAACUGGGGCUAAUACCUGAUAGGAGCUCCUGCUGCAUGGUGGGGGUUGGACAGUUUCGGCGGUAGGGGAUGGACUCCCGGCUUAUCAGCUUGUUGGUGGGGUAGUUGCUUACCAAGGCUUUGACGGAUAGCCGGCCUGAGAGGGGGACCGGCGACAUUGGGACUGAGAUACGGAGCAGACUGCAACGGGAGGCAGCAGGGGGGAAUAUUGCACAAUGGGCGGAAGCCUGAUGCAGAAGCGCCGCGUGCGGGAUGACGGCCUUCGGGUUGUAAACCGCUUUCACCUGUGACGAAGCGUGAGUGACGGUAAUGGGUAAAGAAGCACCGGCUAACUACGUG
This 468-nucleotide ribosomal RNA is filed under the name uncultured bacterium. Its description in RNAcentral is "partial 16S ribosomal RNA". It matches the Rfam family "Bacterial small subunit ribosomal RNA", at positions 28 to 507 of the family's 1533-position model. The record is from RNAcentral.